CAUUACAAAUCCAACCACAUACGGUUUGAUUUUUAACUUGAAUGGAGACACCCAAGAUGUGCCACUAACCCUGGACUCCUUAUCCUCAGGACUGACAAGACAUCUCGUGGGCCCCCAUGUUGGGAAGCUCCUGUGUGACCAUAGGUGCGUGGAGUCACCUUGGGCUCUGGAAGAUACGGGGACAUGCCUGCAAGCCGUGAGGAGCACCACCAGCACCAGGACACUCACUUCCCAUCCGACUCCAGAACCAGCAUCUGGACUGGAGCUCGUGCAGUUAAAGGCCACAGAACCUUCCCUGUCUUCCUGCAGGAGCCUGGUGCACACAUGUGUUCACAUUUAUUCCACAGUAUUUAUGAGCACCAUGUGGGCCGGGGCAGGGAGAGCUCUCACCAUGGAGCCCUGAAGACCUCACGUGUCCACACAGUCACGCAGGCAGAGCUUGACCCAGAACCAAGCUGUCUUGGCAGAAAUGCUUCUGACCCUCCUGCUCAGCCCGUCUCCCGAGUAGCUCCCGCCUGCCCUGCAGGGAGACGUGCCCGUGCUCUCCUGGCUUCUGUGAGGGAUGGGCAUUCCUGGCCUGCCCAUCUCAGGAUGGAGGGAGGGGACUGUAUGCCACUCAGUGACAUCCAGACCUGGCUCCUGGGCAUUGCUGCAUCCUAAGACUGGCAUUGCAUGUGCAGUGAUGUUCUUUUGGAGAGUGGGAUGCGACCAUGGAGAGCGGGCACCUGGGGCUGUUCUUUCCUCUGUGAUUUGAGAAGUGCACUGUCCACAAGAUACACAGAGCUGCUGUGUAUCUUUUCCAGCUGUGCCAGUCACACCUGUUUAUGCCAAUUUCAUUGCUUUGCCAUGUGUAGAAGCAACACAUUGAGCAGAGCAGACGUGGUGGCUUUUCUACUCAGCUGUUGUGCAUGUGUGCACGCACGUGUGCAUGGGUGAUUACAGAUUAUACUAAUACUAGAUUCUGUGCAAUAGAAAACUUGAUAUGAA
This is a non-coding RNA of Marmota flaviventris (yellow-bellied marmot), 987 nucleotides long. The record is from RefSeq and is a predicted model, not a curated record. Lineage: Eukaryota; Metazoa; Chordata; Mammalia; Rodentia; Sciuridae.